This 494-nucleotide ribosomal RNA is filed under the name uncultured bacterium. RNAcentral describes it as "partial 16S ribosomal RNA". It matches the Rfam family "Bacterial small subunit ribosomal RNA", at positions 28 to 507 of the family's 1533-position model. The record is from RNAcentral.
GACGAACGCUGGCGGCGUGCUUAACGCAUGCAAGUCGAACGGUGAAGCGCCUUCCUUUUUGGUGGGUGUGGAUGAGUGGCGCACGGGUGAGUAACACGUGAGUAACCUGCCCCCUUCUUCUGGAUAACCGCAUGAAAGUGUGGCUAAUACGGGAUAUUCUGGGUCUGUCGCAUGAUGGGUCUGGGAAAGAUAUUGUUUCGGUGGGGGAUGGGCUCGCGGCCUAUCAGCUUGUUGGUGGGGUGAUGGCCUACCAAGGCGGUGACGGGUAGCCGGCCUGAGAGGGUGGACGGUCACACUGGGACUGAGACACGGCCCAGACUCCUACGGGAGGCAGCAGUGGGGAAUAGUGCACAAUGGGCGAAAGCCUGAUGCAGCGACGCCGCGUGAGGGAUGGAGGCCUUCGGGUUGUGAACCUCUUUCGCCAGUGAAGCAGGCCUGCCUCGUUUGUGGGUGGGUUGACGGUAGCUGGAUAAGAAGCGCCGGCUAACUACGUG